CUACGGGUGGCACCAGUGGGGAAUAUUGGACAAUGGGCGAAAGCCUGAUCCAGCAAUGCCGCGUGUGUGAAGAAGGCCUGAGGGUUGUAAAGCACUUUCAGUAGUGAGGAAAUGUUUAAGGUUAAUACCCUUGAAUCUUGACGUUAACUACAGAAGAAGCACCGGCUAACUCCGUGCCAGCAGCCGCGGUAAUACGGAGGGUGCAAGCGUUAAUCGGAAUUACUGGGCGUAAAGCGCGCGUAGGCGGUUUGGUCAGUCAGAUGUGAAGGCCCCGGGCUCAACCUGGGAAUUGCAUUUGAUACUGCUAAACUAGAAUGUGGUAGAGGGAAGUGGAAUUCCAGGUGUAGCGGUGAAAUGCGUAGAGAUCUGGAGGAACAUCAGUGGCGAAGGCGGCUUCCUGGACCAACAUUGACGCUGAGGUGCGAAAGCGUGGGUAGCAAACAGGAUUAGAUACCCCUGUAGUC
This 464-nucleotide ribosomal RNA is filed under the name uncultured bacterium. Its description in RNAcentral is "partial 16S ribosomal RNA". It matches the Rfam family "Bacterial small subunit ribosomal RNA", at positions 339 to 795 of the family's 1533-position model. The record is from RNAcentral.